GAUGGAAUCAUCCUCAGUAUAUCUAUGCAUGUAACCAUUGGAAAGCAGUUUAUCUCACAUAGAAAGACCAUUAUAAAUUUCAUGUGUGAGAUACGUAUGUAACUUACCUUUAUUUUCUCUUUCACUACUACGCUUCUGCAUUCACCAGAAGCUCCAAAGACAAAAAAACCAUCAGUCAUUUAACUGGUGAUGUACACAUUUGCCAUCCUGGCGUGGCUUUGCUUUUAAGCUUAAGGUAAAGCAAUUUGUUUGUGCCGUAAGUGACAAAAGCCCACAACCCCACUGCAGCAGAUCUCUGAUUGAGCUCAACGCAGAGCAAGGUCAGACCUGGUGAAGGGAAAAUGAGCACAGCAUGGAAUCACUGCUAAGGCUUUUCCCUAUAAGCAAAGCCCGUGUAUUACUCUCCCAAUGCUUCCUUGGAAGUGCCCUCAACGUUUUAGUGAAGACUUCUCCUGUUGUCUCCCUUCCGUUCCCCGCAACAAACAGCCGUUCAUUUAGUACCGAAAACUUCAGAACAAUGUAUUCACAUUUUAAAAAGUAAGGAGCAAUUGGUAACGGUAUCAUUGCAUGGAAAUGGUCUGGCAGCCUUCUGCUCGGUGCCAACACCUGCGCUCUGCGGAGCGGAAAGAGCUGCCACUUCUUCAUCAGUGCUUCAGUGAGACGGUUACUCCGCCACGCUGCAAGAAGGUCACUGCUGACUGUUAAUAUAUAACCCACAGAUGUGUUGGAUCUUUCCCUGCAGCACUGUUUCAGGCACCGCAGGGGAAUCCCCUCUGCUACCCAUGCCAGCAGCAGACAGGGGAGCUGCAGCCUGGGGAUGCCUGCCUCCCACCCUGCCGCCCCCCAUGCAGCUCUGCAGCGGCUGCUGGGGCUGGGCUGCACAGCGGCUCCCUGGGCUGAUCCAAGUGACGAAGAGGAUGCUCUGAAUCCAGAUUGCUUUUGUUAUCAGAAUGGCAUCAGGAACUGCAGUGCUGGUGCAGUCAGGAGAGCAGGUGCUGGGGAGGAAGCGUGCCGUGGUUCAGACUGUGUCUCUUCCCUUAAUAAAGGUAGAAUGCAAUUGAAAGAGUGUUAUGGUUACACAAUUAUCAAACAGAUAGCUCACAAACAAAAAGGAUGAUGCAUUGGUUCAGAAAAAAUCCAUACAGUCUGUAUUAAAAAUUGCUUCAUCUAUGUGCCUUCUGCAGAGAAAGUAGCUACGUGGAUAGCCAUUAGACAACAUGAACAGUACACAAACAUGAAUCCACAUGCAUAUACACAUUUACACAUGUAAACAUGCAAAAAAAAAAUCUCUAAAUGUAAAAGAAAUGCAAAUUACACCUCACGUAAGAGUUUAUGUCAGCUUUCAAAACCCGCAUGCAGCUCUGAUCCCCUGGGCAGCCGGUUCAUGGCAGCAACAACCAGAAAAGCCUAUAGAGGGAGCAGGCCGCCUGCUUUUCCUGAGUGACGGGUUUUCAGCCUUAAGCAACAGCCCUGCGGGAAGGGCAGCCAAAGGUGGAGGACAAUCAUGUCUUAGGGAGCAGUCCCAGGGCCUGAUCGGGUUACCCUUCAAAGAAGUGGAACAGCAGCAGCAGCCACCUGCCCAGGCCAUGGGCAAGAGGGCUGCAGCUCCAUGUCUCCCCUCCUUUCCUCCUUGCCCUGUCUUCAAGUUCACACCUGAGCCCUGCAAGAAGAAUCACUUGUUGUUUUCCCUCUUCUGUAGUUGCUGGCAUGUCAUGACACUUCAGCCUCCUCUCUUCAAAGUUUAGCAGAAUUUCAUCUUCUGACACCUACAGCCAAAGUAACAUAGCACUGGCUAGAAGUAAGGGAAGAAUGCAGUAAGGAAAGCUCAGGGCUGCCUGCUGAACAAACAGAAUAACUAGGAAAUGCACAACUGCAUGCUACAGAUAACACUAGAGAAGCAGCAUUAAGCAGAAUCAAUAUUAAAAUUGCAUUCAGAAGACAGAAAACACAGAAAUAUCAGGGUUAUUGGGAUACUGUGAUUAGGGUUCACGUGCCCGAAUUUCUACAAAUCAAACAUUACAUGCAUUCUAAUGUACAUGCACGUACACACAACAUUAAAAUCAAAAUCUUCAACCCAUGUAUACAUUUAUUCUAAGCCCAGAAAGUUGGUAGUUAUUGGUUCAGCCCAGAAGGCCCAGCCUAGGCAGAGUGCCUCUGCUGAGCGCAAUACAGACCUGUGCCAAGAGCCUUACCUUGCCCUGCUUUUAUAGCCCAAGGAAAGACAGAAUGACAGGACAUCCUGUUUUUGCUUUUGUUUUUCAAACAGGCAGGGAGCUGUGAGCAGAGAAACUGAACAGAAAGCGGAUCUGACCAAACAAACUCAGAUUAAGCCUUUAAAAUCAAAAGACUGGUAACUAAAAUACAUAGGUUUGGGAGUAAGGACGUUUCUAAGAAGCUUAACUGAGAGGAAUAUGCUUUCUCGUCUGAAACAUAACAAAUGUGCAGAGGAGAAAAUGGUGCACAAUGCAUGGCAAGUCUGCAAGUGUAAUUUACUGUGUCAUCCCCGUGAGUUCUCUCUGUAGGACUGGCCACCAGAGUGUGCACCAGCUUACUUCCAUUUCUGUAAGUACAUAAGAAAAGGCACAGAGCAUACAAUAUUUAUCCAUGAAAUUAUACUGAGAGCUCUCCCCCCCACGCACGAAGGUCUAAGAAUGCUUUAGCAUUUGUCUCCUGGGGAGCAAGAGCAAGCUUUAAGGCUGCAAUACGUAUAGUUGAGCACAGGUCAUGCAGCAGUAACAGAGGAAAGGAACACUCUGCCCUUCAGUUCCUAAGCACUGCAGCUUGAGAGUUUUUAAAAAGGCUAUAUUACUUUUCCGUAACUAACCCCCAUAACGUCUCAUCUUUUGAUACAGGAUGGCUUUUUCUUUUCUUUUCUUUUCUUUUCUUUCUUUCUUUCUUUCUUUCUUUCUUUCUUUCUUUCUUUCUUUCUUUCUUUCUUUCUUUCUUUCUUUCUUUCUUUCUUUCUUUCUUUCUUUCUUUCUUUCUUUUCCUCCUUUUCCUUGCAUGAUUGGAGAGAGACAAUUUGAGGAAUAUAUUCUACAUAGUGAUGUGAUUCAGCAACUUUCUGGCAAACUUAAAUGCAGCCCUUUUUCUCAGCGCACUACUGAAACACAACUGGCAACAAUUUCCUUCAUGCUGAGCUUAACCGAAAGCAGGCAACGUAUCACAUAACCUGAAGCUCAGAGGUCUCGGGUCACAAUGUCAUUUCUCAUGUUCUUUCAUAUGACUACGAGCUGCUCAAACCCAGCCAGUGACAACAACUGUGUUACUGCAGGAGCUGCUGUGUUACUCAGGGUGGCUCAGCAAAUACAUUUUCCCUUUAAUCUAAAUUCUAGGUAGCUUUUGCCCGUACCAACACACAAGGCCGUUGCUUCUCAGGAUCCCAAGGGCAUACCCAUAGAAAGGUUGUUCUGCAGUUCCACCAGAGCACACCCCCCUGUCGUGGGGUUGCCCUCAUCAGAACUUUGUUGGCAUAAGGGCACAGGGGUGAAUGAGGCUUUGUAACUCCACUGUAGAAACAUGAUAUAGUUUUGUGUGUUUGGUAUUCUCUACCCAACUGUGGGAAAUCAGAUCAGGAUCAAAAACUACUCUCCUUAAAGGAACAAAU
This 3607-nucleotide long non-coding RNA is filed under the name Gallus gallus (chicken). RNAcentral describes it as "lncRNA (ENSGALG00010013752.1)". The record is from RNAcentral. Lineage: Eukaryota; Metazoa; Chordata; Aves; Galliformes; Phasianidae.